GGUUAAGCGACUAAGCGUACACGGUGGAUGCCCUGGCAGUCAGAGGCGAUGAAGGACGUGCUAAUCUGCGAUAAGCGUCGGUAAGGUGAUAUGAACCGUUAUAACCGGCGAUUUCCGAAUGGGGAAACCCAGUGUGAUUCGUCACACUAUCAUUAACUGAAUCCAUAGGUUAAUGAGGCGAACCGGGGGAACUGAAACAUCUAAGUACCCCGAGGAAAAGAAAUCAACCGAGAUUCCCCCAGUAGCGGCGAGCGAACGGGGAGCAGCCCAGAGCCUGAAUCAGUGUGUGUGUUAGUGGAAGCGUCUGGAAAGGCGCGCGAUACAGGGUGACAGCCCCGUACACAAAAAUGCACAUACUGUGAGCUCGAUGAGUAGGGCGGGACACGUGGUAUCCUGUCUGAAUAUGGGGGGACCAUCCUCCAAGGCUAAAUACUCCUGACUGACCGAUAGUGAACCAGUACCGUGAGGGAAAGGCGAAAAGAACCCCGGCGAGGGGAGUGAAAAAGAACCUGAAACCGUGUACGUACAAGCAGUGGGAGCACGCUUAGGCGUGUGACUGCGUACCUUUUGUAUAAUGGGUCAGCGACUUAUAUUCUGUAGCAAGGUUAACCGAAUAGGGGAGCCGAAGGGAAACCGAGUCUUAACUGGGCGUUAAGUUGCAGGGUAUAGACCCGAAACCCGGUGAUCUAGCCAUGGGCAGGUUGAAGGUUGGGUAACACUAACUGGAGGACCGAACCGACUAAUGUUGAAAAAUUAGCGGAUGACUUGUGGCUGGGGGGUGAAAGGCCAAUCAAACCGGGAGAUAGCUGGUUCUCCCCGAAAGCUAUUUAGGUAGCGCCUCGUGAAUUCAUCUCCGGGGGUAGAGCACUGUUUCGGCAAGGGGGUCAUCCCGACUUACCAACCCGAUGCAAACUGCGAAUACCGGAGAAUGUUAUCACGGGAGACACACGGCGGGUGCUAACGUCCGUCGUGAAGAGGGAAACAACCCAGACCGCCAGCUAAGGUCCCAAAGUCAUGGUUAAGUGGGAAACGAUGUGGGAAGGCCCAGACAGCCGGGAUGUUGGCUUAGAAGCAGCCAUCAUUUAAAGAAAGCGUAAUAGCUCACUGGUCGAGUCGGCCUGCGCGGAAGAUGUAACGGGGCUAAACCAUGCACCGAAGCUGCGGCAGCGACACUAUGUGUUGUUGGGUAGGGGAGCGUUCUGUAAGCCUGCGAAGGUGUGCUGUGAGGCAUGCUGGAGGUAUCAGAAGUGCGAAUGCUGACAUAAGUAACGAUAAAGCGGGUGAAAAGCCCGCUCGCCGGAAGACCAAGGGUUCCUGUCCAACGUUAAUCGGGGCAGGGUGAGUCGACCCCUAAGGCGAGGCCGAAAGGCGUAGUCGAUGGGAAACAGGUUAAUAUUCCUGUACUUGGUGUUACUGCGAAGGGGGGACGGAGAAGGCUAUGUUGGCCGGGCGACGGUUGUCCCGGUUUAAGCGUGUAGGCUGGUUUUCCGGGCAAAUCCGGAAAAUCAAGGCUGAGGCGUGAUGACGAGGCACUACGGUGCUGAAGCAACAAAUGCCCUGCUUCCGGGAAAAGCCUCUAAGCAUCAGGUAACAUCAAAUCGUACCCCAAACCGACACAGGUGGUCAGGUAGAGAAUACCAAGGCGCUUGAGAGAACUCGGGUGAAGGAACUAGGCAAAAUGGUGCCGUAACUUCGGGAGAAGGCACGCUGAUAUGUAGGUGAGGUCCCUCGCGGAUGGAGCUGAAAUCAGUCGAAGAUACCAGCUGGCUGCAACUGUUUAUUAAAAACACAGCACUGUGCAAACACGAAAGUGGACGUAUACGGUGUGACGCCUGCCCGGUGCCGGAAGGUUAAUUGAUGGGGUUAGCGCAAGCGAAGCUCUUGAUCGAAGCCCCGGUAAACGGCGGCCGUAACUAUAACGGUCCUAAGGUAGCGAAAUUCCUUGUCGGGUAAGUUCCGACCUGCACGAAUGGCGUAAUGAUGGCCGGGCUGUCUCCACCCGAGACUCAGUGAAAUUGAACUCGCUGUGAAGAUGCAGUGUACCCGCGGCAAGACGGAAAGACCCCGUGAACCUUUACUAUAGCUUGACACUGAACAUUGAGCCUUGAUGUGUAGGAUAGGUGGGAGGCUUUGAAGUGUGGACGCCAGUCUGCAUGGAGCCGACCUUGAAAUACCACCCUUUAAUGUUUGAUGUUCUAACGUUGACCCGUAAUCCGGGUUGCGGACAGUGUCUGGUGGGUAGUUUGACUGGGGCGGUCUCCUCCUAAAGAGUAACGGAGGAGCACGAAGGUUGGCUAAUCCUGGUCGGACAUCAGGAGGUUAGUGCAAUGGCAUAAGCCAGCUUGACUGCGAGCGUGACGGCGCGAGCAGGUGCGAAAGCAGGUCAUAGUGAUCCGGUGGUUCUGAAUGGAAGGGCCAUCGCUCAACGGAUAAAAGGUACUCCGGGGAUAACAGGCUGAUACCGCCCAAGAGUUCAUAUCGACGGCGGUGUUUGGCACCUCGAUGUCGGCUCAUCACAUCCUGGGGCUGAAGUAGGUCCCAAGGGUAUGGCUGUUCGCCAUUUAAAGUGGUACGCGAGCUGGGUUUAGAACGUCGUGAGACAGUUCGGUCCCUAUCUGCCGUGGGCGCUGGAGAACUGAGGGGGGCUGCUCCUAGUACGAGAGGACCGGAGUGGACGCAUCACUGGUGUUCGGGUUGUCAUGCCAAUGGCACUGCCCGGUAGCUAAAUGCGGAAGAGAUAAGUGCUGAAAGCAUCUAAGCACGAAACUUGCCCCGAGAUGAGUUCUCCCUGACUCCUUGAGAGUCCUGAAGGAACGUUGAAGACGACGACGUUGAUAGGCCGGGUGUGUAAGCGCAGCGAUGCGUUGAGCUAACCGGUACUAAUGAACCGUGAGGCUUAACCUU
This 2904-nucleotide ribosomal RNA is filed under the name Escherichia coli. RNAcentral's name for it is "23S ribosomal RNA". It matches the Rfam family "Bacterial large subunit ribosomal RNA". Lineage: Bacteria; Pseudomonadati; Pseudomonadota; Gammaproteobacteria; Enterobacterales; Enterobacteriaceae. The record is from RNAcentral.